AUGGAUCCACAGGCCUUUAUUAGGUUGUCGAUAGGCUCUCUGGGAUUGAGAAAUAUCGGAAUUGAACUGAGCACUGAAAAAUCCGGAAUUCAAAGACUCUCUUCAUCUUAUGUUUGUGAGAUACGGCUUCGAGGUUUUCCUGUUCAAACGUCGCCAGUCCCAUUGAUAACCUCGGCCGAUGUCAUACAUACACAGAACACCACUUCAAGCUUUUACCUCGAGGAAUCCGAUUUAAAAGCAUUGUUAGCUCCAGGUUGGACCUGA
Vicia faba (fava bean) is the source of this 264-nucleotide non-coding RNA. The record is from the annotation of a GenBank genome assembly. Lineage: Eukaryota; Viridiplantae; Streptophyta; Magnoliopsida; Fabales; Fabaceae.